CGUAGUAACUAGCCAAUUAAUUGUUGCACGUAUGAAAGGCUUCACGAGUGUCCCGCUGUCUCGAGAUAUACCCAGUGAAAUGAAUUGUAGUGAAGAUGCUACAUACAAGUGUAAGACGAGUAGACCCUGUGAGCUUUACUGGACGUUUGCAUUAAACCGAAACAGGGCCGAGCGUGGCAGGCACACUCGGGAUGGGCGGUACAAAGUGUGAGUGAGACAGUUUGACUGGGAGGGUCGCCUUCAAGAGAGUAUCGAAGGUGAGCAGAAGGUGU
This 272-nucleotide ribosomal RNA is filed under the name Haliclona cf. caerulea Caribbean StJ 7. RNAcentral describes it as "partial 16S ribosomal RNA". It matches the Rfam family "Bacterial large subunit ribosomal RNA", at positions 1956 to 2319 of the family's 2925-position model. The record is from RNAcentral. Lineage: Eukaryota; Metazoa; Porifera; Demospongiae; Haplosclerida; Chalinidae.